Molecule: ribosomal RNA, 770 nt
Filed under: uncultured bacterium
Lineage: Bacteria
Description: bacterial SSU rRNA
Rfam family: Bacterial small subunit ribosomal RNA
Source: RNAcentral
AGAGUUUGAUCCUGGCUCAGGACGAACGCUGGCGGCGUGCUUAACACAUGCAAGUCGAACGGAAAGGCCCUUCGGGGUACUCGAGUGGCGAACGGGUGAGUAACACGUGGGUGAUCUGCCCUGCACUUUGGGAUAAGCCUGGGAAACUGGGUCUAAUACCGAAUAGGACCGCGCGCUUCAUGGUGUGUGGUGGAAAGCUUUUGCGGUGUGGGAUGGGCCCGCGGCCUAUCAGCUUGUUGGUGGGGUAAUGGCCUACCAAGGCGACGACGGGUAGCCGGCCUGAGAGGGUGACCGGCCACACUGGGACUGAGAUACGGCCCAGACUCCUACGGGAGGCAGCAGUGGGGAAUAUUGCACAAUGGGCGCAAGCCUGAUGCUGCGACGCCGCGUGAGGGAUGACGGCCUUCGGGUUGUAAACCUCUUUCACCAGGGACGAAGCGCAAGUGACGGUACCUGGAGAAGAAGCACCGGCCAACUACGUGCCAGCAGCCGCGGUAAUACGUAGGGUGCGAGCGUUGUCCGGAAUUACUGGGCGUAAAGAGCUCGUAGGUGGUUUGUCGCGUUGUUCGUGAAAACUCACAGCUUAACUGUGGGCGUGCGGGCGAUACGGGCAGACUAGAGUACUGCAGGGGAGACUGGAAUUCCUGGUGUAGCGGUGGAAUGCGCAGAUAUCAGGAGGAACACCGGUGGCGAAGGCGGGUCUCUGGGCAGUAACUGACGCUGAGGAGCGAAAGCGUGGGGAGCGAACAGGAUUAGAUACCCUGGUAGUC